UUUCCGUAGGUGAACCUGCGGAAGGAUCAUUAUAGUACAAAAUGCCAGGGGCAUGCGAGGGCUGUCGCUGACCCAAAAGUCAUGCACGCCCGUGUGUGUCCUCUUGCGUAAUAAUCCAUCUAACCCGCUGUGCAUCCCCGCGUGGGCACGCUUCGGGAUCAUCUCGGAGGGGGGCUCCCGUUUUCACACAAACCCCCCUUUUAAAAGUGUAGAAUGACCACAUUUAUGCAAUCAAUACAACUUUCAACAACGGAUCUCUUGGCUCUC
Molecule: unclassified non-coding RNA, 267 nt
Filed under: plant metagenome
Description: partial contains small subunit ribosomal RNA, internal transcribed spacer 1, and 5.8S ribosomal RNA
Source: RNAcentral